Non-coding RNA from Danio rerio (zebrafish), 71 nucleotides. Lineage: Eukaryota; Metazoa; Chordata; Actinopteri; Cypriniformes; Danionidae. The record is from Rfam.
ACAUUGGUGGUUCACUGGUAGAAUUGUCGCCUGCCAUGCGGGAGACCCGAGUCCGAUUCCCGGCCAAUACA